RNAcentral lists this small RNA (209 nucleotides) under Gordonia soli. RNAcentral describes it as "c-di-AMP sequence". It matches the Rfam family "c-di-AMP riboswitch aptamer (ydaO/yuaA leader)". Rfam says of the family: This family represents a conserved RNA structure found upstream of the ydaO and yuaA genes in Bacillus subtilis and related genes in other bacteria. The ydaO/yuaA element is thought to act as a genetic "off" switch for the ydaO and yuaA genes in its native state. The record is from RNAcentral. Lineage: Bacteria; Bacillati; Actinomycetota; Actinomycetes; Mycobacteriales; Gordoniaceae.
CCGUCGGUCGCGCCGAGCCUCGUUCCGCCGACAGGAUGACCAGAACAUCUGGGAACGAGGGCGGGGGACCCACCAUCUCCCCUGAGACGGGCGAUCGCAGUCUGAUCGCCCUUGGGGUUAAGUACCGGAUCGGCCUCGCCGACACCGGACCGAGCAGCCUCUCGCUCGAACCCGACAGCUGACUUCGCAGGCGCGUGGAGAGAGGGAAU